GUUUAUGUAGUAUAAUGAAUUACAUAACUUUUUCAAGGUUAAGAUGUGUUUACCUUAAAUU
Molecule: transfer RNA, 61 nt
Filed under: Tinaminyssus melloi
Lineage: Eukaryota; Metazoa; Arthropoda; Arachnida; Mesostigmata; Rhinonyssidae
Description: tRNA-Glu
Source: RNAcentral